GAAACUUCGCGCGCCUGACUCCGCCCCUCGGAAGUCCUGCCCUUUGGGCUGCGGGAGGUUUCCACGGUGAUGGUAAACAAUCUCGAGUCUGCAUGGACUCUGACUGCCAAGCCCUUGGGGUUCCACCUUCUAAGUGCUGGGAGUAUUACCUAGGGUCCAGGUGUGAGAGCCGGCGCGUGGAGACUCGGUGCUCGAGGUGGUAAGAUUAAUCUGGUUCCUGAUCCUCAAUCCCUUUUGGCCAGAAGUGGAAAACUGAAGAAAUGAGGCGUUUGUUUCAUCUUUUGUUGAACUCUUAAUAGAAGAGUAAAUGAAAUAUGACCCUGAAAAUUACACAAUGACUCAUCUGUGUGGUAUAUUCUGUUCUAUCCUGUGGUAUCAUUGCCUGGAAGGAAACACCAAUAUCCUGGACUGGGAACUUGAAGAAGGCUGCCCUCACAGGGACCUUGUGUUACCUAUCCUGGGAUUGGACUCAGAUUGGUUGCCCAAGCUCAGAUGUCCCACUCUGCCCUUACCUGCCCCUGGGUGAGGUGUCAAACAGUGAGUUGUCCACAGGAUACUACAUUUAACAAGUUCAUUUUAUAUUUCUACAACCACUCUAUUUUAUUUUAUUUUAGUGAUAUUGAGUGGGAUUGAACCCAGGGCCUUGUGCACGGGAAGCAAGUACUUUACCACUAAGCUAUGUCACCAGCCCUUUAUACAACCAAUUUUUAUUUGUUCUUAGAAAUGUCUUCACCUCCCCCCACCAAAAUUACACCUUGAAUUGGUCAUGGUGGUGUACGCCUGUACUCCCAGCAACUCUGGAGGCUGGGACAGGAAGGUUGUAAGUUUGAGGCCAACCUCAGCAACUUAGGCUCUAAGCAAUUUAGUGAAACCCUGUCUUAAAAUAAAAAAUAAAAAGUGCUGGGAAUGUAGCUUAGUGGUACAGUGCCCCUGGGUUUAAUCCACUGUAUCCUCUCCCCCCCCAAAAAAAAUUACGCCUUGAUACAUAAUGCCAUGUGAAUAGAAUUUUAUCAAAUUAUUAUUGUUGAAUGUAAAAGUAAUUGAUUUGUCAUAUGUUUCUUGUGAUUCAUUUAGAUAUUUCAAGUAUCUCACCAAUAUUUUAUGUUUUUUCCCCCAUUUUCUUGGUCUUCGGUUAGUUUUUUUGUGUGUGUGUGCAUGAUACUGAGGAUGAACUCAGGCCUCACGCAUGCUAGGCAAGUAUUCAACCACUUGGCUAUAGCUCCUACCCUUCAUUUAGGUUUUAUAAACAUAACCUCUUUUUUGGGGAAAAUAUCUGGGGAUUCAACCUAGUACCUUGAACAUGCUAAGCAUGUGCUCUACCACUGAGUUACACACCUGGUACCACCACUUUUUCUUGAAUUAUUGCAUUAGGAAUUUUGGGACAACUAGGCAUGAUGUUACAUGCCUGUACUUCCAGAGAUUCAAGAGGCUUAGGCAGGAGGAUCCCAAGUUCAAGGCCAAUCUCAGCAACUUAGUGAGACCCUGUCUCAAAAAAUAAAAAGAAAGUGGUUGUAUUGUUGUGUGUCUGUAAUCAUAGAAAUUUAGGGAGGAUGAGAUGGGAGAUAAGCAAGUUCAAGGCUAGCCUUGGCAAUUUAGGGGAGAACCUUACCAACUUACUUAGACCCUCGGUAACUUAGCAAGACCUUGUCUCAAAAAAAUAAAAAGGGCUGGGGAUGUAGCUCAGUGGUAAAGUGCCCCUGGGUUCUAUCGCCAGUACUGCAAAAAAAGAAAUUUGAGAUGAGCCUGGUGUGGUGACAUGCUCCUGAAAUCCCAGCUAUUCAGGUGUCUGAGAGCAAGAUUGAGAGUUCGAAGCUAGCCUGAGGUCCUGCCUCCAAACUUAAAAAGAUGGGGAUAUAACUCAGUGAUAGAGGGUUUGCCUGGUAUGCUGCAGACUCUGAGUUGAAUCCUGGGUACAGAAAAAAGUAAGUAAAAGUAAACAACAGUGAAAAUGAUUGCAGGUGUAGCUCAGAGGUAGAGUGCUUGCCUAGCAGGUGUGAGGCCCUGAAUUCAAUCCCUAAUACUGAAUAAAAGAAUUUGGGUGGGACAAUCGUUAGUAAGUCCUUUGGUACCAAACUUUAUUUGAUGGAGUUCUUUUAGUGUUACAUCCUUAGGUCAAAUGUUAUAUGAGGGAAGCUAGCUGCCAUGUUAAGAGGCCCGCAUGGCAAGGAAUUGAUGUCUCUGCCAAUAGCCAUUUUAGCAAGCUAUCUGGGACACAAGUCCUCCAGCCUUGAUCAAGCUUUUAGAUGACUGCGUUCCAUCCUAGCUGAAAGUCAGACUGCAAAUUCAUGAGAGACUUCUAGCCACAACCACCAGCUGAAACUGCUUGAAAUGGUAUGAGAUUAUGUUUUAAGGCACUAAAUUAUGGGUGAUUUAUUAUACUCUAAUAACUAAUAAACCAACUGCAGAACUUGUGACUUUAAAAAAGAAUUGAGUUAAAAUGCACAGUUGGUUCCACUUUUGUUUUUUGUACCAAAGUAGUUUGCUGUACACUUCUGAAAUUUUUGACAUCACCAUAUUAGUAGAACAUCAAAUAAAGAACUAAUACAGUUAACUUAGCAAAAAACAGGAUAACAUGGGUGUGUGUGUGGGAUGUAACUCAGUGUUAUAACUCAGUGUUAAACAUUUGCCUAGCAUGCAUGAGGACCUGGGUUUUGUCCCUAGUACUGAAAAAAACAACAACAACAAAAAAAACCCAAACCAGGAAAACAGCACCACUUACUCUGAGAUAUAUCAUCCUUUUUGUAGCAACCAUUUUUCUCAUUUUUUUUUUUUUAUCAGUUUCCUUUCACUUAGUUCCUCUGGCUACAGGUGGCAGUGUUAGCAUGUCCCUUGUCAGCUAUUUCUUCUAU
Molecule: long non-coding RNA, 2849 nt
Organism: Sciurus carolinensis (gray squirrel)
Lineage: Eukaryota; Metazoa; Chordata; Mammalia; Rodentia; Sciuridae
Exons: 3
Source: RefSeq, a predicted model, not a curated record